This is a small nucleolar RNA of Pistacia vera, 104 nucleotides long. NCBI's taxonomy places the organism in Eukaryota, Viridiplantae, Streptophyta, Magnoliopsida, Sapindales, Anacardiaceae. The record is from RefSeq and is a predicted model, not a curated record.
AAUCCAUGAUGAGGACACUUCUGUAAGAGAUCUUUGUAUCUUUCCCAAGCUUCAUAAAGUGACUCCAUAUCUUCUUGGUAAAAAGUAAUGUCACUUCUCAUCUU